CCUACGGGUGGCAGCAGUGAGGAAUAUUGGUCAAUGGACGAGAGUCUGAACCAGCCAAGUAGCGUGAAGGAUGACUGCCCUAUGGGUUGUAAACUUCUUUUAUAUGGGAAUAAAAUGUUCCACGUGUGGGAUUUUGUAUGUACCAUAUGAAUAAGGAUCGGCUAACUCCGUGCCAGCAGCCGCGGUAAUACGGAGGGUCCGAGCGUUAUCCGGAUUUAUUGGGUUUAAAGGGAGCGUAGGUGGAUUGUUAAGUCAGUUGUGAAAGUUUGCGGCUCAACCGUAGAAUUGCAGUUGAAACUGGAAGCCUUGAGUGCGGGAGAGGUGUGCGGAAUUCGUGGUGUAGCGGUGAAAUGCUUAGAUAUCACGCAGAACUCCGAUUGCGAAGGCAGUUCACUGGACUGCAACUGACGCUGAGGCUCGAAAGUGUGGGUAUCAAACAGGAUUAGAUACCCCUGUAGUC
Molecule: ribosomal RNA, 460 nt
Filed under: uncultured bacterium
Lineage: Bacteria
Description: partial 16S ribosomal RNA
Rfam family: Bacterial small subunit ribosomal RNA
Source: RNAcentral